GGGUUGUGAGGUUAAGCGACUAAGCGUACACGGUGGAUGCCCUGGCAGUCAGAGGCGAUGAAGGACGUGCUAAUCUGCGAUAAGCGUCGGUAAGGUGAUAUGAACCGUUAUAACCGGCGAUUUCCGAAUGGGGAAACCCAGUGUGAUUCGUCACACUAUCAUUAACUGAAUCCAUAGGUUAAUGAGGCGAACCGGGGGAACUGAAACAUCUAAGUACCCCGAGGAAAAGAAAUCAACCGAGAUUCCCCCAGUAGCGGCGAGCGAACGGGGAGCAGCCCAGAGCCUGAAUCAGUGUGUGUGUUAGUGGAAGCGUCUGGAAAGGCGCGCGAUACAGGGUGACAGCCCCGUACACAAAAAUGCACAUGCUGUGAGCUCGAUGAGUAGGGCGGGACACGUGGUAUCCUGUCUGAAUAUGGGGGGACCAUCCUCCAAGGCUAAAUACUCCUGACUGACCGAUAGUGAACCAGUACCGUGAGGGAAAGGCGAAAAGAACCCCGGCGAGGGGAGUGAAAAAGAACCUGAAACCGUGUACGUACAAGCAGUGGGAGCACGCUUAGGCGUGUGACUGCGUACCUUUUGUAUAAUGGGUCAGCGACUUAUAUUCUGUAGCAAGGUUAACCGAAUAGGGGAGCCGAAGGGAAACCGAGUCUUAACUGGGCGUUAAGUUGCAGGGUAUAGACCCGAAACCCGGUGAUCUAGCCAUGGGCAGGUUGAAGGUUGGGUAACACUAACUGGAGGACCGAACCGACUAAUGUUGAAAAAUUAGCGGAUGACUUGUGGCUGGGGGUGAAAGGCCAAUCAAACCGGGAGAUAGCUGGUUCUCCCCGAAAGCUAUUUAGGUAGCGCCUCGUGAAUUCAUCUCCGGGGGUAGAGCACUGUUUCGGCAAGGGGGUCAUCCCGACUUACCAACCCGAUGCAAACUGCGAAUACCGGAGAAUGUUAUCACGGGAGACACACGGCGGGUGCUAACGUCCGUCGUGAAGAGGGAAACAACCCAGACCGCCAGCUAAGGUCCCAAAGUCAUGGUUAAGUGGGAAACGAUGUGGGAAGGCCCAGACAGCCAGGAUGUUGGCUUAGAAGCAGCCAUCAUUUAAAGAAAGCGUAAUAGCUCACUGGUCGAGUCGGCCUGCGCGGAAGAUGUAACGGGGCUAAACCAUGCACCGAAGCUGCGGCAGCGACGCUGAUGCGUUGUUGGGUAGGGGAGCGUUCUGUAAGCCUGUGAAGGUGUGCUGUGAGGCAUGCUGGAGGUAUCAGAAGUGCGAAUGCUGACAUAAGUAACGAUAAAGCGGGUGAAAAGCCCGCUCGCCGGAAGACCAAGGGUUCCUGUCCAACGUUAAUCGGGGCAGGGUGAGUCGACCCCUAAGGCGAGGCCGAAAGGCGUAGUCGAUGGGAAACAGGUUAAUAUUCCUGUACUUGGUGUUACUGCGAAGGGGGGACGGAGAAGGCUAUGUUGGCCGGGCGACGGUUGUCCCGGUUUAAGCGUGUAGGCUGGUUUUCCAGGCAAAUCCGGAAAAUCAAGGCUGAGGCGUGAUGACGAAGCACUACGGUGCUGAAGCAACAAAUGCCCUGCUUCCAGGAAAAGCCUCUAAGCAUCAGGUAACAUCAAAUCGUACCCCAAACCGACACAGGUGGUCAGGUAGAGAAUACCAAGGCGCUUGAGAGAACUCGGGUGAAGGAACUAGGCAAAAUGGUGCCGUAACUUCGGGAGAAGGCACGCUGAUAUGUAGGUGAAGUCCCUUGCGGAUGGAGCUGAAAUCAGUCGAAGAUACCAGCUGGCUGCAACUGUUUAUUAAAAACACAGCACUGUGCAAACACGAAAGUGGACGUAUACGGUGUGACGCCUGCCCGGUGCCGGAAGGUUAAUUGAUGGGGUCAGCGCAAGCGAAGCUCUUGAUCGAAGCCCCGGUAAACGGCGGCCGUAACUAUAACGGUCCUAAGGUAGCGAAAUUCCUUGUCGGGUAAGUUCCGACCUGCACGAAUGGCGUAAUGAUGGCCAGGCUGUCUCCACCCGAGACUCAGUGAAAUUGAACUCGCUGUGAAGAUGCAGUGUACCCGCGGCAAGACGGAAAGACCCCGUGAACCUUUACUAUAGCUUGACACUGAACAUUGAGCCUUGAUGUGUAGGAUAGGUGGGAGGCUUUGAAGUGUGGACGCCAGUCUGCAUGGAGCCGACCUUGAAAUACCACCCUUUAAUGUUUGAUGUUCUAACGUUGGCCCCUGAUCGGGGUUGCGGACAGUGUCUGGUGGGUAGUUUGACUGGGGCGGUCUCCUCCUAAAGAGUAACGGAGGAGCACGAAGGUUGGCUAAUCCUGGUCGGACAUCAGGAGGUUAGUGCAAUGGCAUAAGCCAGCUUGACUGCGAGCGUGACGGCGCGAGCAGGUGCGAAAGCAGGUCAUAGUGAUCCGGUGGUUCUGAAUGGAAGGGCCAUCGCUCAACGGAUAAAAGGUACUCCGGGGAUAACAGGCUGAUACCGCCCAAGAGUUCAUAUCGACGGCGGUGUUUGGCACCUCGAUGUCGGCUCAUCACAUCCUGGGGCUGAAGUAGGUCCCAAGGGUAUGGCUGUUCGCCAUUUAAAGUGGUACGCGAGCUGGGUUUAGAACGUCGUGAGACAGUUCGGUCCCUAUCUGCCGUGGGCGCUGGAGAACUGAGGGGGGCUGCUCCUAGUACGAGAGGACCGGAGUGGACGCAUCACUGGUGUUCGGGUUGUCAUGCCAAUGGCACUGCCCGGUAGCUAAAUGCGGAAGAGAUAAGUGCUGAAAGCAUCUAAGCACGAAACUUGCCCCGAGAUGAGUUCUCCCUGACUCCUUGAGAGUCCUGAAGGAACGUUGAAGACGACGACGUUGAUAGGCCGGGUGUGUAAGCGCAGCGAUGCGUUGAGCUAACCGGUACUAAUGAACCGUGAGGCUUAACCUUACAACGCCGAAG
Molecule: ribosomal RNA, 2925 nt
Filed under: Escherichia coli
Lineage: Bacteria; Pseudomonadati; Pseudomonadota; Gammaproteobacteria; Enterobacterales; Enterobacteriaceae
Description: partial 23S ribosomal RNA
Rfam family: Bacterial large subunit ribosomal RNA
Source: RNAcentral